GGCGUCCAGAAGGGUCUGUAGAAGUCGGACGCCGGUUGUCAAACCCGAUAGGGAGUCGGUGAUGUCCCAUCCGACAGGGAGUCGGUGAUGCGGGGUCGGCUUUCAGGUGAUCAGAGGUAGUGUUGGCCUGUUGGGCCGACACGCUCGGGCCGGACAUCAUCGGUAGUUAUUGUCGGUGUCGCCCGUCGUCAGACGGAUAAAGUCGGUCGGUACAUCUCGAGGAUGGGUCGGGAUCGGGAUCC
This 242-nucleotide long non-coding RNA is filed under the name Elaeis guineensis (African oil palm). Its description in RNAcentral is "long non-coding RNA (EGUI_LNC026716)". Lineage: Eukaryota; Viridiplantae; Streptophyta; Magnoliopsida; Arecales; Arecaceae. The record is from RNAcentral.